AACCUGCCCACUGAAGAUUUAAAUGGCCGCAGUAUAUUAACUGUGCAAAGGUAGCAUAAUCAUUAGUCUUUUAAUUGGAGGCUGGUAUGAAUGGUUGGACGAAAUAUUAACUGUUUCAUAUAAAUUUAUAUUAAAAUUUUAUUUUUUAGUAAAAAAGCUAAAAUUUAAUUAAAAGACGAGAAGACCCUAUAAAUCUUUAUAUUUAUAUUAAUAUAGUUUUUAGGAUUAUUUUUAUUAUAAUAAUUAAUAAUAUUUUAUUGGGGUGAUAUUAAAAUUUAAAUAACUUUUAAUUGUAAAAUUCAUUAAUUUAUGAGUUAUUGAUCCGUGAUUAACGAUUAGGAAUUUAAGUUACUUUAGGGAUAACAGCGUAAUUUUUUUGGAGAGUUCAUAUUAAUAAAAAAGAUUGCGACCUCGAUGUUGGAUUAAGAGAUAAUUUUAGGUGUAGUCGCUUAAAUUUUAAGUCUGUUCGACUUUUAAAUUCUUACAUGAUCUGAGUUUAAACCGGUGUAAGCCAGGUUGGUUUCUAUCUUUAGUAA
This 536-nucleotide ribosomal RNA is filed under the name Mesembrinella bellardiana. Its description in RNAcentral is "partial small subunit ribosomal RNA". It matches the Rfam family "Bacterial large subunit ribosomal RNA", at positions 1856 to 2650 of the family's 2925-position model. The record is from RNAcentral. Lineage: Eukaryota; Metazoa; Arthropoda; Insecta; Diptera; Calliphoridae.